GCAAGGAUGAACAGCCGCUGAGCCAGGCGAUGCAACUAGCGCAACAGCGACAGGAGUUGCCCAAGCAGGGCCAACCCAUGGGGCUCGGCUGGCACAUCGCUUCCGACGGAGCGCUGUGGCACAGCGGCAUGACAGCGGGAUACCACUCCUAUCUAACCGUGGUGCCCGAGCGCAACCUGGGCAUCGUGGUCCUGGCAAACACCGCCACGAUGAAGAUCUCUGAUCUGGCCGAUCAAAUCAAGCGUAUCGCCGAGGGGAAGAAGGUGAUUCCGCCCCAAGAUCGCAAGUCGAUCGAGGUCGAUCCGGCCGUGUUAGCAAAUUAUACAGGCGUUUAUGCGAUCGACUCUCAUUUCGCGCUGCGCGUCACGAUGGACGACGGUAAAUUGAUGGUGCAGGCGAUCACCGAGCCGGAAAAGUAUCAGGUGUUCGCCGAGUCCCCUACUAACUUUUUCUAUCGAGUCGCCGACGCGCAAUUGACUUUUGUCCCGGACGAAAACGGAAAGGUCAACGAGAUGCAGUUGCAACAGGGGGCACUGUCACAGACCGCAAAACGCGUGGCAGACGAGGGCAAGUUCAAGUUUCCCAAGCAGCGCAAGGCGAUCGAUGUCGAUCCCGGGGUCCUGGCCACCUAUGCGGGCACAUAUUCGAUCGUGCCGCAGUUCGGCCUGACCGUGACCGUCGAGGACGGCAAGCUGAUGGUGCAGGCCACCGCGCAGCCGAAGUUCCAGGUAUUCGCCGAAACGCCGACCGAGUUCUUCUAUAAGGUGGUCGACGCGCAGAUCACCUUCGUGCCCGGCGCCGACGGCAAGGUCGACAGCCUGAUCCUGCACCAGAACGGGCAGGACCUGAAGGGGACGCGGAAGGACUAGCCCAUCACCCUGCCCUCUCCUCGUAGGGGCGAGGGUUGCAAAAACGAGUUCAGCCGCCAAGAUUUUGCUGGACAACUAAUACUUAGUUAACUAAGCUUAGUGUCAAUAUACAAAUUCGGCAGCAAUCUCCUAUUAGGAGGGCGGCUCUGAUGCACGCUUCGUUGACCAUGGCGCUGGUCCUGGCGGCGCUACUUCCCACGUCCCUCUCUGCGGCAGAAGCGACUGCGCUGGAACUCAACAAACCGGUCGAGGCGAGUCUUCGCGCGGGGGAGACCCAUCACUAUGCGGUCGCCCUCAACAGCGGUGACUUCGUCAAAGGCACCGUCGCGCAACGCGGCAUCCCGAUCAACGUCAAAGGUUUUUUUCCUGACGGCGCGAAGAUUCGCUCGUUUGGCGGCGCGGACGAGGGAGUCAAGGGCUUUCGCUUCGUGGCCGAAGCGCCCGGCGCUUACCAGCUGGAGUUGAAGGCCGCCGACUCGGGCGGGCCAGGGAGCUACAAGAUUGAGAUUCAGCAGAUCCAGCCGAUGGCGGAGCGCCUGAAGAUUGUGGAGGAGGAGAAGUAUCGCAGCCCGCGCCUCGCUGCGCUGCGUUCCCAGCUAGAGGGCGGAAACCGUGCGGCGCUGGCCGACUUUUGGCGCGAAGUGGAACAGCAAGGCACGCCGUUGGCCGAGCCACUCUCGGACGACAACGAGAAUCUGUUGGUGACGUUUCUGUGGCGGGCCACGUUCGAGACCCACAACGUGCUGGUCAUGUGGGCGCCUUACACGACGGAGCACUUGGACCGGUUUCAAAUGGCACGGUUGGGCGACACAGACCUCUGGUACAAAAGCAUGCGGUUGCCCAAAGGGGCGCGCUUCACCUAUCAGCUUUCACCCAACGACACGCUGAGUAAUGCCGCCAAUGCGCAGCGGUUUGCCACUGCCCAAGCCGAUCCCUUGAAUUCUCAUCGUCGUCCCAAGAAUCCGAAUCUGACCAAGUAUGAAGUCUCUUCGAUUGCAGAAUUGCCUGGCGCGCCGGCACAGCCUUGGGCGCAGCUCCGCGACAACGUAGCCGCCGGCAAGCUGGAGGAUCAUCGGUUCCGCAGCACGCUGCUGAAGAACGAGCGGGGCGUCACCGUCUACCUGCCGGCUGACUAUCGGGCCGACGGCACACCCUAUGGACUGCUGAUCCUCUUCGACAAAGGUUCUUAUCUCAACGCGGGGGCGGCCCAAACAACACUCGACAAUCUGAUCGCCGAUCGCAAGAUCCCGCCGCUAGUGGCAGUACUGUUGGGCAACAUCAAUGACGAGACGCGGACGCGCGAAUAUGUUUGCAAUC
Molecule: unclassified non-coding RNA, 2186 nt
Filed under: uncultured fungus
Lineage: Eukaryota; Fungi
Description: sequence contains 18S rRNA gene, ITS1, 5.8S rRNA gene, ITS2, 28S rRNA gene
Source: RNAcentral